CCUACGGGUGGCAGCAGUGAGGAAUAUUGGUCAAUGGUCGGGAGACUGAACCAGCCAAGCCGCGUGAGGGAUGAAGGUACAGAGUAUCGUAAACCUCUUUUGUCAGGGAGCAACGUCACCCACGUGUGGGUGUUGGAGAGUACCUGAAGAAAAAGCAUCGGCUAACUCCGUGCCAGCAGCCGCGGUAAUACGGAGGAUGCGAGCGUUAUCCGGAUUUAUUGGGUUUAAAGGGUGCGUAGGCGGGUUAUCAAGUCAGCGGUAAAAUCGGGGAGCUCAACUCCAUCCAGCCGUUGAAACUGAUGAUCUUGAGUGGGCGAGAAGUAUGCGGAAUGCGUGGUGUAGCGGUGAAAUGCAUAGAUAUCACGCAGAACUCCGAUUGCGAAGGCAGCAUACCGGCGCCCGACUGACGCUGAAGCACGAAAGCGUGGGUAUCGAACAGGAUUAGAUACCCGUGUAGUC
Molecule: ribosomal RNA, 459 nt
Filed under: uncultured bacterium
Lineage: Bacteria
Description: partial 16S ribosomal RNA
Rfam family: Bacterial small subunit ribosomal RNA
Source: RNAcentral